AUUAACACGAGCAUUGGACAGGUGGGAGAACGACAUAUACAGACGACAGGGAGAACGACAUAUACAGACGACAGGGAGAACGACAUAUACAGACGACAGGGAGAACGACAUAUACAGACGACAGGGAGAACGACAUAUACAGACGACAGGGAGAACGACAUAUACAGACGACAGGGAGAACGACAUAUUCAGACGACAUAUUCAGACGACAGGGAGGACGACGUCCGUAAACAGACGACAUAUACAGACAAUUUCAAUGGACAUAUACAAAUGUAUUGUAUAAAGCAGACGACAUUAUUUUGACACAUCCGGAACCCCAUACUCCACUGCCUAUUGAAUGCGCUACACCCAGUCCAGUAGGAGGCGCUAAUUACCCUUCAGUUGCCAACCGCCAUUCAGGCCAAAAGCGCAGAAGAACAAAAAUGACCGGGAAAAUGGGAAAAUCUGACAAGACUGAGAAGAUGACAACAGCACAGCGGGGUUUUAGAAGCCCAUCAGAGUGAUUUUCUGAGUUCUUUCACAUGCUGUAUGGUCAGCGAAUGGAUGGAUUAUCCAGUCAAGGUACAGAAUGAAAGACUUGACUGAGUUAGAAGAAGCUGGGCGACUCUUCAGAGUGAAGAUGUUAUGUGCCUGCUUUCGAACCACACCCGUGGAGAUAUCUGCCAACAAAUGGACAAUCAUUCAUGGGGCUACAGAUGGGGCUGCAUUAAAGAAUUUUCAAUAUGCAGUUAUGUCAAAGCUCUCGUUUCGGCUGGCCAGAUUGGAACAGACCUGAAUGGGAAGAUGGCAGAGCUAAGACUGACAAUGUCCAGGAAAAAUGUUAACUAAAAAUGAGUGUUUUUCCUCAGCGAGUGAAUUUGGGAAUGUUUUAAAUGUUCCUAAAAGUUUGAAAAUGUAAUACUGAGGGAAAAAAGUGAGCGCUUUGAAAAGGCUUUAAAAAGAAAAUAAAGUCUGAAGUUGAUGGUAAAUGAAUUUAAAGUUUUUACUUGAAAAGUUUGUACUUGUUUGUACUUGUCAAGUCUGUGCUGAAAAAAAUGGAGUAAAGUUUGUAUUUGAAAAGACUUGAAAUUGUGUGUUCUGUAGAAUGAGUACACAUAUAUGUGCAGGCUGUAUAAAAAAACAUAG
Long non-coding RNA from Paramisgurnus dabryanus, 1125 nucleotides. RefSeq lists it as uncharacterized. The record is from RefSeq and is a predicted model, not a curated record. NCBI's taxonomy places the organism in Eukaryota, Metazoa, Chordata, Actinopteri, Cypriniformes, Cobitidae.